GACGAACGCUGGCGGCGUGCUCAACACAUGCAAGUCGAACGGAAAGGCCCUGCUUUUGUGGGGUGCUCGAGUGGCGAACGGGUGAGUAACACGUGAGUAACCUGCCCUUGACUUUGGGAUAACUUCAGGAAACUGGGGCUAAUACCGGAUAGGAGCUCCUGCUGCAUGGUGGGGGUUGGAAAGUUUCGGCGGUUGGGGAUGGACUCGCGGCUUAUCAGCUUGUUGGUGGGGUAGUGGCUUACCAAGGCUUUGACGGGUAGCCGGCCUGAGAGGGUGACCGGCCACAUUGGGACUGAGAUACGGCCCAGACUCCUACGGGAGGCAGCAGUGGGGAAUAUUGCACAAUGGGCGGAAGCCUGAUGCAGCAACGCCGCGUGCGGGAUGACGGCCUUCGGGCUGUAAACCGCUUUCGCCUGUGACGAAGCGUGAGUGACGGUAAUGGGUAAAGAAGCACCGGCUAACUACGUG
Molecule: ribosomal RNA, 468 nt
Filed under: uncultured bacterium
Lineage: Bacteria
Description: partial 16S ribosomal RNA
Rfam family: Bacterial small subunit ribosomal RNA
Source: RNAcentral